GGGCUGGGGCUUAGUGGUAAAGUGCUUGCCUUGCAUACGUGAGGCACUGAGUUCAAUCCUCAGCACCACA
RNAcentral lists this transfer RNA (70 nucleotides) under Marmota monax (woodchuck). RNAcentral describes it as "tRNA.Ala". The record is from RNAcentral. Lineage: Eukaryota; Metazoa; Chordata; Mammalia; Rodentia; Sciuridae.